GCUUAUUUAGUCCUAUUAUAAUCGUGUCACUGGUUUCUGUUGUGGGUCUUGGGCUCUUUGCAAGGGGAUUCCCACUUCUUGCUAGCUGUGUAGAAAUUGGCCUGCCUAUGCUAAUAUUCCUGGUUAUCUCCCAACAGUAUUUGAAGCGCAUCCAUUCCACGGCUCAUCAAAUUCUUGAAAGGUUUGUUUUGCUUUUAUCUUAUCCAGCAAUAAAAGG
Long non-coding RNA from Humulus lupulus (European hop), 217 nucleotides. RefSeq lists it as uncharacterized. The transcript has 3 exons. The record is from RefSeq and is a predicted model, not a curated record. Lineage: Eukaryota; Viridiplantae; Streptophyta; Magnoliopsida; Rosales; Cannabaceae.